GGCCCCGCCCACGUCAUGGCGCCCGAGGAGAAUGCGGGGACCGAACUCUUGCUGCAGAGUUUCGAGCGCCGCUUCCUGGCGGCGCGCACGCUGCGCUCCUUCCCCUGGCAGGGGGGCGGCGGGCGAGCGGAGAGGCCCGCGGGGCUCGCGGGAGUCCAGGGGCAGACGGGAUGGGUCUCCGUGCUGAAACCCCCGGCGCUCCUGCCACAGCUUAGAAGCAAAGUUAAGAGACUCAUCAGAUUCUGAGCUGCUGCGGGAUAUUUUGCAGAAGACGUGCUGUAUUGCCCAGAAGCCAUCGUGUCGCUGGUCGGGAUCCUGCGGAGGCUGGCUGCCUGCUGGGAGCACCAGCAGUCUCCUGAGGUCUACGUGGCCUUUACCGUCCACAACCCAGAGACGUGCCAGCUGUUCACCACCGAGCUAGGCCUGUCCUAGCAGCCCCACACAAAACGCUCACGUCCUGUCCCCAAACACCGCCAUCCUCAAGCACGUGCUCUGUUUCCAGGCCGGGCUGGGAUCAUAUGGGAAGCGGAAGCUCAUCAUGACCAGAAACUGUUUCCCUAUGGAGAGCACUUGGAGAUGGCAAUGCUGAACCUCACACUGUAGGACUCACACACGACUCCAACGGGAUUGUGAGAAUCAAGUCAAUCUCAUGGGAAGAAUUUUUAUAUGGGAAAGCGGAUAAAACUUUCAUUGUACUGGAAUGUUUGGAGAAUGUUAAAUUCCAAAUCAGAAACCACAAACUGCCCUCUAAUAAGACAUCGGCUAUCUAAG
This is a long non-coding RNA of Homo sapiens (human), 771 nucleotides long. Ensembl annotates it as family with sequence similarity 86 member D, pseudogene. Its record names the gene FAM86DP. The record is from Ensembl. NCBI's taxonomy places the organism in Eukaryota, Metazoa, Chordata, Mammalia, Primates, Hominidae.